Long non-coding RNA from Heterocephalus glaber (naked mole-rat), 296 nucleotides. RefSeq lists it as uncharacterized. Lineage: Eukaryota; Metazoa; Chordata; Mammalia; Rodentia; Bathyergidae. The record is from RefSeq and is a predicted model, not a curated record.
UGGAAAGACAGCAAUGUCUGGAGAGGAGAAUCAUAGAAAGAACUCCCCUGUGUUACAUAGGGAUUUCCAGAAAAACAAAACCACAAGCUGGAGACUUGGGAGAGUUAUUAUGUGAUCUGAAAUCUACCAGAGUUAACAUCCAAGAUGAGCAGCUGAAGUCCAAAGGCCAGAAAGCUCCAGUGUCCCAGCUCCAGCACUCAGGUUUCAUAUUUUGAUCAAAGUUAAGGCUCAGUCCAGUUCACUCAGGUCCACACUGCCUGAAAGAAGAAUGCUCAUCAUUUUUGCUGUGAUUUUUG